UAAUUUAAUAUUUUGUUAACCAUAAGAAUAAUUGAAACUUGCCUAACAACCAACCAAACUUUUUACCUUCUGUUUUUGAGCUUUAAUCUCUUUUUGGAACAGUAUGUGUGAGUUCUUUUGACAAGAAAAUGCUCAGUGUGUAAGCGAGAAGGAGGCUGGGAUAGAACAUAAGGAAUCCAUUGGAGUUUAGUUAUUGAACUUUGAACAUGUAGGAGAUCUUGUGAAAGAACAAAUUUUGGCUAAUGUAAAUAGUUUCUUUUCAGAUUUUUUUAAUGACAAAAGAAAUUGGUGUUGCACUUCCAAGUCUGUUUAAUUUUAUUGAUACCUGGAAGUUGGUAAUUGCGUAGCUAAACUUUGCUUAGACUGAAUGUUUGAGAUACCAUGCUGAGUAUUCAAGUGCGUAUCUGGCACCUAGUGAUGCAAUUCUCAACAUUAGAUCUAAAACUUUCACCAUUGCUAACCUGUAUCUGACUUCACACUCUAGGGAUAUAUGUUGGCGAUGGAAUG
Molecule: unclassified non-coding RNA, 507 nt
Filed under: Hevea brasiliensis (rubber tree)
Lineage: Eukaryota; Viridiplantae; Streptophyta; Magnoliopsida; Malpighiales; Euphorbiaceae
Source: RNAcentral